This 301-nucleotide ribosomal RNA is filed under the name uncultured bacterium. RNAcentral's name for it is "partial 16S ribosomal RNA". It matches the Rfam family "Bacterial small subunit ribosomal RNA", at positions 509 to 807 of the family's 1533-position model. The record is from RNAcentral.
CAGCAGCCGCGGGAAUACGUAGGGUGCAAGCGUUAAUCGGAAUUACUGGGCGUAAAGCGUGCGCAGGCGGUUAUAUAAGACAGAUGUGAAAUCCCCGGGCUCAACCUGGGAACUGCAUUUGUGACUGUAUAGCUAGAGUACGGCAGAGGGGGAUGGAAUUCCGCGUGUAGCAGUGAAAUGCGUAGAUAUGCGGAGGAACACCGAUGGCGAAGGCAAUCCCCUGGGCCUGUACUGACGCUCAUGCACGAAAGCGUAGGGAGCAAACAGGAUUAGAUACCCCUGUAGUCCCUGUCUCUUAUAC